Molecule: ribosomal RNA, 250 nt
Filed under: uncultured bacterium
Lineage: Bacteria
Description: partial 16S ribosomal RNA
Rfam family: Archaeal small subunit ribosomal RNA
Source: RNAcentral
UACCAGCACCCCGAGUGGUCGGGACGAUUAUUGGGCCUAAAGCAUCCGUAGCCGGUCAUGCAAGUCUUCCGUUAAAUCCACCCGCUCAACGGUUGGGCUGCGGAGGAUACUACGUGGCUAGGAGGCGGGAGAGGCAAGCGGUACUCAGUGGGUAGGGGUAAAAUCCUUUGAUCCAUUGAAGACCACCAGUGGCGAAGGCGGCUUGCCAGAACGCGCUCGACGGUGAGGGAUGAAAGCUGGGGGAGCAAAC